UGACGGUACCUGACUAAGAAGCACCGGCUAAAUACGUGCCAGCAGCCGCGGUAAUACGUAUGGUGCAAGCGUUAUCCGGAUUUACUGGGUGUAAAGGGAGCGCAGGCGGUCCUGCAAGCCAGAGGUGAAAACCCGGGGCUCAACCCCGUGAUUGCCUUUGGAACUGUGGGACUUGAGUACUGGAGGGGCAGGCGGAAUUCCUGGUGUAGCGGUGAAAUGCGUAGAUAUUAGGAAGAACACCGGUGGCGAAGGCGGCUUGCUGGACUGGAACUGACGCUGAGGCACGAAAGCGUGGGGAGCAAACAGGAUUAGAUACCCUG
RNAcentral lists this ribosomal RNA (320 nucleotides) under uncultured bacterium. RNAcentral describes it as "bacterial SSU rRNA". It matches the Rfam family "Bacterial small subunit ribosomal RNA", at positions 470 to 789 of the family's 1533-position model. The record is from RNAcentral.